This 259-nucleotide ribosomal RNA is filed under the name uncultured bacterium. RNAcentral describes it as "partial 16S ribosomal RNA". It matches the Rfam family "Bacterial small subunit ribosomal RNA", at positions 524 to 776 of the family's 1533-position model. The record is from RNAcentral.
UACGUAGGGUGCAAGCGUUGUCCGGAAUUAUUGGGCGUAAAGAGCUCGUAGGCGGUCCGUCACGUCGGCUGUGAAAACCUGGGGCUCAACCCCGGGCCUGCAGCCGAUACGGGCGGACUAGAAUUCGGUAGGGGAGACGUGGAAUUCCUGGUGGUAGCGGUGAAAUGCGUAGAGAGUCCGGAAGAACACCGGUGGCGAAGGCGGCCUGCUGGGCAGUUUUGCUGACACUGAGGUGCGAAAGGCGUGGGGAGCAAACAGG